This 1663-nucleotide long non-coding RNA is filed under the name Homo sapiens (human). Its description in RNAcentral is "HSALNT0177615". Lineage: Eukaryota; Metazoa; Chordata; Mammalia; Primates; Hominidae. The record is from RNAcentral.
GUUUAAAUCGCAAACAUUUAUUUCUCACAGUUCUGGAGGCUGGAACUCCACGACCAAGUCACUGGCAGAUUCAAUGGCUGUUUGCAGGUGGCCGUCUUCUUGUGGGGUCCUCGUGCGACAGAGAGCAGAGACAGAGCCGGUUCUCUGGGCCUCUUCUUAUCAGGCCACUAAUUUCAUCACGGGGCCGCACCCUCAGGACUCAACUACAUUCCACAGGUCCCCUCUCCUAAUGCCAUCACAUUGGGAGUUAAGGCUUCAACAUAUGUAUUUAGGGAGGACGCACACAUUUGGUCCGUAGCGAGAAUUCAGACUCAAGCCCUUGCCUCAGGCUCUAAUGCACCCAAACCCAGCAGCCACGCACCGCACACCCUGGAGAGCGUGCAGGGGACCCCUGGGUGGGUGAGGACAGGUUUUGGGACUCAGGAGCUAGUCCCUGGGUUUGUCUCGUCAGCCUUCGCCCACCCCUUGACCUCGAAUGGGCCUCCUGACCCAGAACAUGGGGAUCGGGGCCUGGGAAGGUUGAGGGAAGCAUUAAAUGAGGUGGCCCUUUGUCAUGUAUCUGGCACCCCAUAGGCGCUCAAAUGGUGCAACGAGGAUGCCACGGCCCUAACCUGCAAACACGUUUCCACGACUUCACGCCGGAGGCAGCCAAAACGCUUCCCGGCUCCCCUUCCCUGGGGCCCUCCUGGCAGUCCCUGGAGCCAGCCCCUUGGCUCCUGCCUGGCCCCUCCUAGGCAGCCGGCCUGUCCCAGAGUCCCCACCCAGCCCUGGCACCGGCAGGCAACAGACGCUUGCUGGUGGGUGGUCGGGAGCACGUGCCUGGGGAGAGCUGCCUCCACACCAUUCACUGAUCUAAUCAAUAUCCUGCUCCUCCCGAGAACCCGAUCACAGGCCCAUCCAAGUGGGGGUCUGGCUGUGACCCCUUCUUCACCCCGAACUUCCCCCAUGGCCACCACCUCCCCCUUCCCUCUCCCCAGCCCGCUGGGGUGGGCCGCUGGGAGGAAGCCCAUCUCUGACGUGGACCCCGCAUACAGGGGGUCGUGGGCCUGUCAGAUUGGGUCACCCGAAUCAAGGGUGAUGAUAAAACCUGUCCCUCCAAAUUAGGCCAGAGCCCCCGGAGCCCCGCUGAUUACAGCCUGUGCACCGAGGACAAAGGGUCCCUCUAGGGUCAUUAAUAUGGAUUGAGGCCCAUUGUUUUCUCAAAUUAGGCCACAGGGAGCGCUUCUUGGGGAAGCACAUAGCGGGUGAGGGUUCCUGGGGUCCCGCCCAGGGUCCUGCGAGGCCAGGCUGGAGAGCCAGCAAGGAAGAGGCCAGACCAUUCCCAGGCUGAAGGCUCGGGCUCGGGGGUGAGGCCAGGGCCAGUGGGCUUCCCCAGCUCACCUGCAGAAUGUUCUGGAGAAAUAAAAGGAUCCCUCUGAGUACCUGCUGGGACUGAGUGAGCAUUCUUAACUUACACAGAGGGUCUUGCUGUCUGCAAAGCGUUUUAGAUUCUCAAUGCCUUUCAACCUCCAGCACCUUGGGAAUUCCACUCCAAUUCUUAGUGUGGGAAAGUGAGGCUCCGAAAGGUCCAAAGGCUGUCUCGCUGGUUCGCAAGCCUGAAUGCAGGUGCCCCUCCUUCAGCUCGUGACAUGCCACGUCACCGUGACGACAGCCAUGGGCUGAG